Molecule: ribosomal RNA, 272 nt
Filed under: uncultured prokaryote
Description: partial 16S ribosomal RNA
Rfam family: Bacterial small subunit ribosomal RNA
Source: RNAcentral
UACGAAGGGGGCUAGCGUUGUUCGGAUUUACUGGGCGUAAAGCGCACGUAGGCGGACUUUUAAGUCAGGGGUGAAAUCCCGGGGCUCAACCCCGGAACUGCCUUUGAUACUGGAAGUCUUGAGUAUGGUAGAGGUGAGUGGAAUUCCGAGUGUAGAGGUGAAAUUCGUAGAUAUUCGGAGGAACACCAGUGGCGAAGGCGGCUCACUGGACCAUUACUGACGCUGAGGUGCGAAAGCGUGGGGAGCAAACAGGAUUAGAAACCUUGUAGUCC